RNAcentral lists this ribosomal RNA (245 nucleotides) under uncultured Eubacteriales bacterium. Its description in RNAcentral is "uncultured Clostridiales bacterium partial 16S ribosomal RNA". It matches the Rfam family "Bacterial small subunit ribosomal RNA", at positions 524 to 768 of the family's 1533-position model. The record is from RNAcentral. Lineage: Bacteria; Bacillati; Bacillota; Clostridia; Eubacteriales.
UACGUAGGGGGCAAGCGUUGUCCGGAAUUACUGGGCGUAAAGAGCGUGUAGGCGGGUAUUUAAGUCAGAUGUGAAAACUUGGGGCUCAACCGCAAGAUUGCAUCUGAUACUGGAUACCUUGAGGGCAGGAGAGGAAAGUGGAAUUCCUAGUGUAGCGGUGAAAUGCGUAGAUAUUAGGAGGAACACCAGUGGCGAAGGCGACUUUCUGGACUGUACCUGACGCUGAGACGCGAAAGCGUGGGGAG